UCCUGUUUUAAUAUAUUUUAAAGUAGGGCCUGAUCCCAUCUGAUCUUAGAAGCUAAGCUGAGACAACUCUGGUUAGUACUUGGAUGGGAGACUGCCACUGAAUACCAGAUGCUUUAGGAU
RNAcentral lists this ribosomal RNA (120 nucleotides) under Anolis carolinensis (green anole). The record is from RNAcentral. Lineage: Eukaryota; Metazoa; Chordata; Lepidosauria; Squamata; Anolidae.